CCGGCGUGUCGACGUCUUGAUAAGAAGGUGUUGGGCUACAUAAAUAUUUUCAUAUUUAUACGAAUAAUUUAUUUACAUUUUACGGUUCUGUGUGUGUGUGUGUGUGUGUGUGUGUGUGUGUCUUUGCUCUGAAUUUCGACACUGUUUUGGGGUUGUGGCGAGGCAGUUCCCCCCUCCAAUGUCAACCCCAAUUCUCAUUUUGGAAUAGUUCAAGUCAGGCUCUCCGGC
This 228-nucleotide small RNA is filed under the name Drosophila guanche. The record is from RNAcentral. Lineage: Eukaryota; Metazoa; Arthropoda; Insecta; Diptera; Drosophilidae.